CAAUCUUUCCCACCCUCAACACCUAAACGUCCACCUCCUCCAUCUUCGGUACAGUCACCACAACCUGUCAACUCUACCCGACCACCAUCAAGGAACUGAAUCACCAAUAAUCGUUGAGUUUUGGUGGAAAAAAUUGAGCAAAACAGUUAUAAUGAGGGAAAAAGCUGAAUCUUUUCGGGAACCAAAAAUUAAUUGCCAAAAACUACUCCAGUAAGCAUAGUGUUAAAACAUACAAAAAAAUAAUUUUGUGUGUGGUAGUAGCGAUGGUGGCUGUGGUGGGCAAUACAACGUCGUGUGGAUUGGGGCAGUGGUUGGCGGUGAUUGAUUUUGUGAUAUUUAUGUUUCGGGAUGGAUGAGUGGGGGUGGGAUGUUUGGGGA
This 378-nucleotide long non-coding RNA is filed under the name Olea europaea (common olive). RNAcentral's name for it is "long non-coding RNA (OEUR_LNC006941)". Lineage: Eukaryota; Viridiplantae; Streptophyta; Magnoliopsida; Lamiales; Oleaceae. The record is from RNAcentral.